Small nucleolar RNA from Lactuca sativa (garden lettuce), 107 nucleotides. Lineage: Eukaryota; Viridiplantae; Streptophyta; Magnoliopsida; Asterales; Asteraceae. The record is from RefSeq and is a predicted model, not a curated record.
AGGUUGUGUUAUGAGCAAUUUCUGAGUAACCCCUUGUACCUCUCCCAAGCUUCAUACAAAGACUCUCCACCUUGUUGUUUGAAAUUAGCUAUGUUUUUCUUCAACUU